RNA transcript from Nelumbo nucifera (sacred lotus), 1506 nucleotides. It is a transcript of the gene named 11-beta-hydroxysteroid dehydrogenase A-like, with no coding region annotated. The record is from RefSeq and is a predicted model, not a curated record. NCBI's taxonomy places the organism in Eukaryota, Viridiplantae, Streptophyta, Magnoliopsida, Proteales, Nelumbonaceae.
CAGUGCAUGGAGCUGGAGCUCUGAGCACAUUUAAAAGUUUCUUUCUCUCGUGUAUGUUGUUCAGGUAGCCAUGGAUACGAUCCACAAGUUAUUGAACUUUGUGGCUCCUCCUUUGGCUCUUGUCGCUCUAUGUCUCACCUUACCCUUGUUAUACAUAUGCAAGAUUAUUAGUUACAUCCUAAGAUCCAUCUCUACCGAAGACUUGACCGGAAAAGUAGUUAUCAUCACCGGCGCUUCUUCUGGCAUCGGCGAGCACUUAGCUUAUGAGUACGGGAGGAGAGGAGCCCGUCUGGUCCUGGUUGCCAGAAGGGAGAACAGCCUUAGGGAAGUUGCGAAGAAAGCCGGACAACUCGGCUCCCCGGAUGUUUUAGUUGUUCGAGCAGACGUUUCCAAGGUCGAGGACUGUAAGCGUUUUAUUCAAGAAGCAGUGAACCACUUCGGACGAAUCGAUCAUCUGAUUUGUAAUGCUGGGAUCACUUGCGCCUGCAUAUUCGAAGACGCAUUGGAUGUUACCAAUUUUAGAACUGUGAUGGAUAUUAAUUUCUGGGGUUCCAUUUAUUCAACCUAUUUCGCAAUUCCUCACCUCAGAAAGAGCAAAGGAAAGAUCAUCGUGAUUUCUUCGUCAGCUGGGUCGUUUGUCUCACCAAUGAUGAGCUUGUAUGGUGCCAGCAAAGCAGCAAUGAUAAACUUCUAUGAGACACUGAGAGUGGAAUUAGGACAGGAAGUUAAAGUGACGCUGGUAACUCCUGGAUUUGUAGAAUCAGAGAUGACCCAAGGAAAACACCUUUCCAAAGGAGGUUCUCUCGAAGUAGAUGCGGAACUGAGAGAUGUUGCAAUCGGAGCAGUUCCAGUUCUGAGUGUAAGUGAAUGCACAAAAUCAAUAGUGAAUGGAGCAUGUCGGGGAGACAGAUACGUGACGGAGCCAUCGUGGUUUGGACUGUUGUUCGUCUUCCAAUUCUGCUGCCCGGAGCUGGUCGAAUGGUUUUGUCGCAUGCUCUACGGGACCAAACCAGGCGCCUCCAACAGGGAAACUCUUAGCAGGAAGCUCUUAGAUGUUGUGGGAGCCAAGAAGUUCUUUUAUCCAUCUUCCAUUCAUUCAUCUCAGAUUAAGAAAGACUGAGGCCCCGUUUGGUUCGUGGGAAUAAAUGUGGUGGUCAUUGUUUUGUCUUGUGUACGGUGUCAGCAGUUCAACCCUCAACUUGGUUAGGGGUGGUUGAUAGAGAGACCUUACCUGGAAUCCAAUGCCCUUGUGUGAAGUCGGGAUCCUUUGCAAAGAUGUUCUCAAUGUGUGUGUGCCAAAUUCAUACAGAGAGAUGUUCUCAAUGUGUGUCAAAAUUCCCAUGUUUACUUACUGCAGAGUGUAUUCAGAGCUUUUGUUUGCAGAGAAUCCCGUGGCCCUCUUGUGUGGUACUGUGGCCUCUUUAUUUUCCAUUUGAAAAAAGUUGAUUAUGAGUUGAGGGCACAUUCUUUCUAUAUAUGAAAAUUAAGGUUGGUUAUUCGUGGGAA